GUUGUCUGGGAUGUAGCUCAGUGGUAGACCACUUGCUUAGUAUGCAGGAGAACCUGAGUUCAAUUCCCAGCCCUGCAAAAAUAAAAAGCAGCUAGAGUUUGCAGUUGAUUAUUUGUAGAAGUUGAGGGUUCAAAGGCUAUUUUUCAUUUUUUAUUGUUUUCAUUCCUACUAGUCUAAGCUGUGGUAUGUCUGCCAAUAUAAUUAUCUAAAAAACUUGUGGUUUACUGUGAAUCUUACCAGGGAUUUACUCCAUUACACAAAUUCCAAACCCACAAAUCUCUCUGGGACAAGCUUUCCUACCUUGAGCUCUUUGUAAUGCUGCUUUGGGAGAAGGCCAUGAAGGUUCUUAAGCCCUCUCCUUCACCUUUUAUUAAAUGGGGAGGACCAAUGAGGCAUACACUUGGAAGGCCUUGUCUGUAUGUGUGCAGUGCAGGAAUGAAGCCGGGGCCUCAAACAUGCAAGAAAAGCACUCUUACCACUGGGUACACCCCGAGCCCGGUCUUUUGAAAGGGUCUUUGGGGCUUCAUCUAAAAUCUCCCUGAGGUCUUCCAGACACACCCUUGGCUUCAUGUUCAGAAUGUUUUCCUGGGUUUGUUCUCUGGACAGGAGCUAUUUCUUAAUUUCAGUGUCCUUUGCCAUCUGGGCAGGCUUGGAAUAAGAAUGUUAAUAACAAUUUUAAAAAGUUAUCAAGUCUUGGUUCCUUUAUUUAAUAGUGCUUCAGCUUUUCUUUUUAUUUCAGGCAGAUAGAAGACAUGUUGCCCUUCAACAAUCUGCCUGGAGACCUGAAUAGUUAUUCUUUGAAUUACUAGACACAUUUCUUAUUCACUAUGAUAUUGAAUGUGGUCGUGUUGCAAAAAUCUUUGUUGUGACAUAGCAAGAAAUCC
This 884-nucleotide long non-coding RNA is filed under the name Marmota monax (woodchuck). The stretch from base 7 to 78 matches the Rfam family "tRNA". The record is from RNAcentral. Lineage: Eukaryota; Metazoa; Chordata; Mammalia; Rodentia; Sciuridae.